This 459-nucleotide ribosomal RNA is filed under the name uncultured bacterium. RNAcentral describes it as "partial 16S ribosomal RNA". It matches the Rfam family "Bacterial small subunit ribosomal RNA", at positions 338 to 795 of the family's 1533-position model. The record is from RNAcentral.
CCUACGGGCGGCAGCAGUGGGGAAUUUUGGACAAUGGACGCGAGCCUGAACCAGCCAAGUCGCGUGAGGGAAGACGGCCCUAUGGAUUGUAAACUUCUUUUGUCCGGGAGCAAAAGACGCCACGCGUGGCGUUCCGAGAGUACCCGAAGAAAAAGCAUCGGCUAACUCCGUGCCAGCAGCCGCGGUAAUACGGAGGAUGCGAGCGUUAUCCGGAUUUAUUGGGUUUAAGGGGAGCGCAGGCGGAAGAUCAAGCCAGCGGGAAAAUUGGGAGGCUCAACCUCUUCGUGCCGUUGAAACUGGUUUUCUUGAGUGAGUGAGAGGUAUGCGGAAUGCGUGGUGUAGCGGUGAAAUGCAUAGAUAUCACGCAGAACUCCGAUUGCGAAGGCAGCAUACCGGCGCUCAACUGACGCUCAGGCACGAAAGUGUGGGUAUCGAACAGGAUUAGAUACCCCAGUAGUC